AGUGAAUUGAACUUGGUCAAGUUGUUGCUGGCUCUCUCAGAGCAUGUGCACACUUGGCUCUUGUUUCUUAAACCCCCUUGGGGACCUUUUGGAAAACUUGGAAAAAUUUGAAUCCAAAAUGGACCUGGCCCCUAACCCUCCCAAUCCAAGUCCUUUUCCAAACCAUUUAAUCCGGGGAAAAAAAUGGUUUCCAAGGGAUUAAUAAAGGCCUUAAAUCCAAAACCACUUUCAACCACGGAACCCCUGGCUCCCCCCUCCAUGGAAAACCCCACCAAAUGGCAUAAAUAAUGGGAAUUGGCAAAUUUCAUUGAAUCUUCAAUCCUUUAACGCCCCCUUGCCUCCCUGGUAUUUCCAAGAACCUGGCCGGUUGAAUGGCCUGAAAUUCCCCACCUUUGUUACUUUUUUUUGUUUCAAAGAGUCUGGAAGUGGAGGUUGCUGGCUUUUGUUGAAAGAGUCGGCUCCUCUGAAAUACAUUAGUGGGACCCAUCGUUGAUUAGCUCCCUGGUGUGAUAGUUAUCUACGCCGUGGCUCAUCACGAUAUUGUGUGGUUCAGCUUUCUAACGAGACAACAACAACUGUCUUUGAUUAUUUUGACCUCAAAUCAGGUAGGACUACCCGCUGAACUUAAGCAUAUCAAUAAGCGGAGGAAAAGAAACUAACAAGGAUUCCCCUAGUAACUGCGAGUGAAGCGGGAAGAGCUCAAAUUUAAAAUCUGACAGUCUUUGGCUGUUCGAGUUGUAAUCUAGAGAAGUGUUAUCCGCGCUGGACCGUGUACAAGUCUCCUGGAAUGGAACAUCAUAGAGGGUGAGAAUCCCGUCUUUGACACGGACUACCAGGGCUUUUGUGAUACGCUCUCAAAGAGUCGAGUUGUUUGGGAAUGCAGCUCUAAAUGGGUGGUAAAUUCCAUCUAAAGCUAAAUAUUGGCGAGAGACCGAUAGCGAACAAGUACCGUGAGGGAAAGAUGAAAAGAACUUUGGAAAGAGAGUUAAACAGUACGUGAAAUUGUUGAAAGGGAAACGCUUGAAGUCAGUCGCAUUGGCUAGGGAUCAACCUUGCUUCUUUGCUUGGUGUACUUCCUAGUUGAUGGGCCAGCAUCAAUUUUGACCAGUGGAUAAAGGUCAAGGGAAUGUGGCAUCUCUGGAUGUGUUAUAGCCUUUGAUUGUAUACAUUGGUUGGGAUUGAGGAACUCAGCACGCCACA
RNAcentral lists this ribosomal RNA (1200 nucleotides) under Macrocybe gigantea. Its description in RNAcentral is "eukaryotic LSU rRNA". The stretch from base 592 to 1200 matches the Rfam family "Eukaryotic large subunit ribosomal RNA", at positions 1 to 607 of the family's 3401-position model. Lineage: Eukaryota; Fungi; Basidiomycota; Agaricomycetes; Agaricales; Callistosporiaceae. The record is from RNAcentral.